UACGAAGGGGGCUAGCGUUGCUCGGAAUUACUGGGCGUAAAGCGCACGUAGGCGGCUUCUUAAGUCGGUGGUGAAAUCCUGGAGCUCAACUCCAGAACUGCCUUCGAUACUGGGAAGCUCGAGUCCGGGAGAGGUAAGUGGAAUUCCGAGUGUAGAGGUGAAAUUCGUAGAUAUUCGGAAGAACACCAGUGGCGAAGGCGACUUACUGGACACAUAUUGACGCUGAGGUGCGAAAGCGUGGGGAGCAAACAGG
This 253-nucleotide ribosomal RNA is filed under the name uncultured bacterium. RNAcentral describes it as "partial 16S ribosomal RNA". It matches the Rfam family "Bacterial small subunit ribosomal RNA", at positions 524 to 776 of the family's 1533-position model. The record is from RNAcentral.